Molecule: ribosomal RNA, 33 nt
Filed under: Verticillium dahliae
Lineage: Eukaryota; Fungi; Ascomycota; Sordariomycetes; Glomerellales; Plectosphaerellaceae
Description: partial 18S ribosomal RNA
Source: RNAcentral
AGUUCCGUAGGUGAACCUGCGGAGGGAUCAUUA